RNAcentral lists this ribosomal RNA (497 nucleotides) under uncultured bacterium. RNAcentral describes it as "partial 16S ribosomal RNA". It matches the Rfam family "Bacterial small subunit ribosomal RNA", at positions 28 to 507 of the family's 1533-position model. The record is from RNAcentral.
GAUGAACGCUGGCGGCGUGCCUAAUACAUGCAAGUCGAGCGAACGGACGAGAAGCUUGCUUCUCUGAUGUUAGCGGCUGACGGGUGAGUAACACGUGGAUAACCUACCUAUAAGACUGGGAUAACUUCGGGAAACCGGAGCUAAUACCGGAUAAUAUUUUGAACCGCAUUGUUCAAAAGUGAAAGACUGUCUUGCUGUCACUUAUAGAUGGAUCCGCGCUGCAUUAGCUAGUUGGUAAGGUAACGGCUUACCAAGUCAACGAUGCAUAGCCGACCUGAGAGGGUGAUCAGCCACAAUGGAACUGAGACACGGUCCAGACUCCUACGGGAGGCAGCAGUAGGGAAUCUUCCGCAAUGGGCGAAAGCCUGACGGAGCAACGCAGCGUGAGUGAUGAAGGUCUUCGGAUCGUAAAACUCUGUUAUUAGGGAAGAACAUAUGUGUAAGUAACUGUGCACAUCUUGACGGUACCUAAUCAGAAAGCCACGGCUAACUACGUG